UCCUGUGAAAAGAAAACAAAACAUGCGGAAAGUCUUGUUCUCGGGGCAGGAUGUCGUCCCCUACAUCUCGCACGCCACAUGCCCUCCAAGAACUCUUUCACUGCCUCAAUCACUCGUCCACUCGUCUCUCCGCUGAGCCCCAGCAGCAGCACCGGCUCAGGCCCAAAGAAGAAGAAGAAGAGUAGAUUCAACGGAGCUGCCUGCGUAGCGACAUAAGCAUUACUUUUUCUCGUGUUUACCUUCAAACUACAAUGAAGAGAAGUUCCGCAGCCUUUAAGAAGAAGGUGAAGGGCACAGGGACGGCCAGGGAAAGUAAGGAAAGCUGCAGAGAAGCCUUCACAUGACGAAAGUGCCUCCACCACCACCACUACCACCAGAUCACCACACUAAGUUAAUCUUCUCCGUGGCCUCAGGAAGUGGUGGCAGCGUCAGCCUGAGACGAUUAGUACUGCAGCACGCGUACGUCCGGCUUCCCAAACCUCCGAGGGAGCUGCUCGUGCAACACACUGAGACUCGUCUGGAGCCCAGGAAGAAGCUUGUGUCUGAGUACGAGGCGCUGAUGGAAGCGGCGGCGCUGUCAGCCAGUCCAGCUGGCCACCUCUCCGGGCCCAUAGUCGUGGGGGGCAUCUUGGCGGAGGGGACUGUAAGGGUUCAUGGAGCUCCUGGCUCAAAUUACAAGCAAAAGUACUUGAAGGGCGGGAACUUGAGGCUGCUGAGUACCCCCUUGGCCGAGGGAGGGGACCAGGCCUUCCUCACACUUAGCUUUACUCAGGUCAACCGCAAGAGUCUGGACUUCCAGAUCAAGUACGGGUCCAGCCUGCAGCACCUCCACGGGGUAGUGAGCCAGCUAAAGGCCCACCUGGAGCAGUCUGGCAGCCUCAGCGCCCUGCCGGCCCUCGUGGAGUGAUUGUCCUGCUGUUUGGGUGACUUAGGAGGCUGGACAAGGGAAAGGGAAGGCAUGGUUAGGGUAGUGAUUGUCCUGCUGUUUGGGUGACUUAGGAGGCUGGACAAGGAAACUUUAGGCAUGGUUAGGGUAGUGAUUGUCCUGCUGUUUGGGUGACUUAGGAGGCUGGACAAGGGAAAGGGAAGGCAUGGUUAGGGUAGUGAUUGUCCUGCUGUUUGGGUGACUUAGGAGGCUGGACAAGGGAAAAGAAUGCAAUCAAAUGGUCACAACUUUUUAACCCUUUAAAUUGGGCACAGGCAGAGACUGACGCUGGGUGUGGGUGGAGCAGCUGGAUACAUGGACCUUGCUGGGUGUGUGAGUGCCUCCCAAAGAAGAGUUCCCAGCGCCACGGCUCCCAAGACCUCUGCCAAGCUGGGCAAUGUCAGUCUGGUCAUUGGACACAAGUCGCGGCAGGUGGCAAAAGUGGACGUGGCUGUGCCCCAUCAGGACGUCAUUGUCUCCAGUCAUGCGGUCCAGCGAGUCACUGCUCUACCGCACGGCACUGACCCCAAGGACGUCCCGAUCCACAGCAGGGACGUGGCCACCCCUGCCAAGUCCCUGGACACAGCCCCAAGUGUUCCCUGGUGGGCCAUACUCGCUGGGCUCCUCCUCCUCCUCCUCCUCCUCACCCUGCUGCCGUGGAAGGUGUCGGGUUCCUGCACAGGUGAACCAAGAUGGAGUCAUGGCUUUGGGGCGGCUUGCUAAACAGGUCAGAUGAGCCACAACGUGCGCAGGUCACAACAGGUCACCACAUGCAGGUCGGAGGUCACACAGCCACCGUCCAUGGCCUGACCCCUAAGAGUGGAUACCAGCUGUCUGGAGUGGACACAGAAGUGGAUUCCUUACAGCAUCGGGACUCCUGUCAAGAUCUCGGUCACCCUCGGAGUCUCGUCACUGGCAACUUCCCGAGGAGCUGCGUCUGUGCGUCACACUCCACCUCCAAGCUAACCCAGGACUGUCCCAGGCUGAGCUGCAUGACAUAACCUAUACUAAGAUCGAACCCGCCUGCAACCUCAAGAUCAAGUACGGGUCACCCAAGCCUAGGAGACAGAGUAGCCCUCGCCAAUCUAAGAGGUGGGUGAUUGCGGCUGAUUGGGGUCUGAAGAGGCUGUUUUUAGGGGCGAGAGGGCAGGGAUAAGACUGUAAGGUUACUAUCAGUGCUGAGAGACAAAAAAUGUGAAGGGUAAUUUUUGGGGCUGAUUUCGGUGCCUGAGGGGGCUGAAAGGAGUAGAGGGGAAGGAAAGGGGCUGAGAAGGAGUCGUCAGGUCGCUAUGGGUUUAAGAACGGGCUGGUUUGGGGCUUUUUAGGGGGCUGAUUUCGGGCUGCGAGUGUAAGGCCGCGGGCACACAGAAAGUGAGAAAGCUAGCGAGAGCUGCAAGGCGAGUUUCUGUGGCCAUACUCACUCUGGAAUAGCUUAAGUUAGGUUAGCAUUUUUUUUUUUAAUUAUUAUUUUGGUGUAAUGUCUCUCAUGCAUCUUCCUUUUCUCUCUCUCUCUCUCUCUCUCUCUCUCUCUCUCUCUUUUACAUCUAAGGAUGCGGCUCAAGGGCAACAAAAAGAUUACAAAAAAGCCCGCUACUCGCCGCUUCCACAAAAGUAAAAAGUACAGGGUAGCCAAAAGAGAGGUCAAUGUCGAGUGGAAAGGUGUCUUGAUACACUUCUUGAAAGAGGUCAAGUCCUAGGCAGGAGGAAAUACAGAAGAAGGAAGGCUAUUCCAGAGUUUACCAGUGAAGGGGGAUGAAAGAAUGGAGAUGCUGGUUAACUCUUGCAUAAGGGGACUCGUUAUCUACUUCUUCCAUUUUAUUUCACAAUUCGUACAUUAGUAUUAGUAUUAGGCAUUUACCUAGUGUACCUAGUUGUGAAAUACAGGAAAAGAGCCGUAUUAGGCUCGUGCUGUCCCGUCUCUAUAACGCUUAUUAUCCAGUUUGGCUUUAAAUUCAUGAAUCGUUUUUGCACGCACAGUCUCCUCGUCGAGUCCGUUCCAUGUUGUUGUGCUUCUGUAUGGAAAACUGUAUUUAUUGACGUCUCUCCUACAGUCGCUCUUCUUCAAUUUCUUACUAUUCCCUCUUGUCACACUUCUGUCACAUACCACUAAAUCUUCCGUCCAAUUUCUCCAAUCCCUCUUGUAUCCUGUAUUAGUUCCCCUCUCUCCUUCUCUCCAGUGUUGUAAGUCCCAAUUUCUCCAGUCUUUCUUCAUAACCCCCCGGUCCCACAGAGC
RNA transcript from Eriocheir sinensis (Chinese mitten crab), 3158 nucleotides. RefSeq lists it as uncharacterized. The record is from RefSeq and is a predicted model, not a curated record. The transcript is spliced from 10 exons. NCBI's taxonomy places the organism in Eukaryota, Metazoa, Arthropoda, Malacostraca, Decapoda, Varunidae.